UACGUAGGUGGCGAGCGUUGUCCGGAUUUACUGGGCGUAAAGCGCGCGCAGGCGGACUGAUCAGUCUGGGGUGAAAUCUCACGGCUCAACUGUGAGCGGUCCCUGGAUACUGUCAGUCUUGAGAUGUCUAGAGGAGAGCGGAAUUCCCGGUGUAGUGGUGGAAUGCGUAGAUAUCGGGAGGAACACCAGUGGCGAAAGCGGCUCUCUGGGGACCAUCUGACGCUGAGGCGCGAAAGCGUGGGGAGCGAACCGG
This 253-nucleotide ribosomal RNA is filed under the name uncultured bacterium. RNAcentral's name for it is "partial 16S ribosomal RNA". It matches the Rfam family "Bacterial small subunit ribosomal RNA", at positions 524 to 776 of the family's 1533-position model. The record is from RNAcentral.